UACGGGGGGAGCAAGCGUUGUUCGGAUUUACUGGGCGUAAAGGGCGCGUAGGCGGCCACCGCAGGUCGGUUGUGAAAUCUCCGGGCUUAACCCGGAAAGGUCAAUCGAUACUGCGGGGCUAGAGUGCAGAAGGGGCAACUGGAAUUCUCGGUGUAGCGGUGAAAUGCGUAGAUAUCGAGAGGAACACCUGCGGCGAAGGCGGGUUGCUGGGCUGACACUGACGCUGAUGCGCGAAAGCUAGGGGAGCGAACGGG
RNAcentral lists this ribosomal RNA (254 nucleotides) under uncultured bacterium. RNAcentral's name for it is "partial 16S ribosomal RNA". It matches the Rfam family "Bacterial small subunit ribosomal RNA", at positions 524 to 776 of the family's 1533-position model. The record is from RNAcentral.